AUUGAACGCUGGCGGCAGGCCUAACACAUGCAAGUCGAACGAGUGGCGGACGGGUGAGUAAUGUCUGGGAAACUGCCUGAUGGAGGGGGAUCACUACUGGAAACGGUAGCUAAUACCGCAUACCAUCGGAUGUGCCCAGAUGGGAUGGGCUAGUAGGUGGGGUAACGGCUCACAUAGGCGACGAUCCCUAGCUGGUCUGAGAGGAGGACCAGCAACACUGGAACUGAGACCCGGUCCAGACGCCGACGGGAGGCACCAGGGGGGAAUAUUGCACAAGGGGCGAAAGCCUGAUGCAGCCAGGCCGCUUGUAUGAAGAAGGCUUUCGGGUUGUAAAGUACUUUCAGCGGGGAGGCGUUACCCGCAGAAGAAGCACCGGCUAACUCCGUGCCAGCAGCCGCGGUAAUAC
RNAcentral lists this ribosomal RNA (406 nucleotides) under uncultured bacterium. Its description in RNAcentral is "partial 16S ribosomal RNA". It matches the Rfam family "Bacterial small subunit ribosomal RNA", at positions 29 to 526 of the family's 1533-position model. The record is from RNAcentral.